CGAACGGGUGAGUAAUACAUCGGAACGUGCCCAGUAUGGGGGAUAGCCCGGCGAAAGCCGGAUUAAUACCGCAUACGACCUACGGGUGAAAGCGGGGGAUCGCAAGACCUCGCGCUAUUGGAGCGGCCGAUGUCGGAUUAGCUUGUUGGUGAGGUAAAAGCUCACCAAGGCGACGAUCCGUAGCUGGUCUGAGAGGACGACCAGCCACACUGGGACUGAGACACGGCCCAG
RNAcentral lists this ribosomal RNA (231 nucleotides) under uncultured bacterium. Its description in RNAcentral is "partial 16S ribosomal RNA". It matches the Rfam family "Bacterial small subunit ribosomal RNA", at positions 99 to 334 of the family's 1533-position model. The record is from RNAcentral.